This 68-nucleotide transfer RNA is filed under the name Panulirus japonicus (Japanese spiny lobster). RNAcentral describes it as "tRNA-Ser(AGN)". Lineage: Eukaryota; Metazoa; Arthropoda; Malacostraca; Decapoda; Palinuridae. The record is from RNAcentral.
GAAGUAUUUGUGGAAUGAAAAAGACUUCUAAUCUAUUUUCAAAGCGGUUCAACUCCGUUUAUACAUCU